This 72-nucleotide transfer RNA is filed under the name Ovis aries (sheep). It matches the Rfam family "tRNA". Rfam says of the family: Transfer RNA (tRNA) molecules are approximately 80 nucleotides in length. Their secondary structure includes four short double-helical elements and three loops (D, anti-codon, and T loops). Lineage: Eukaryota; Metazoa; Chordata; Mammalia; Artiodactyla; Bovidae. The record is from Rfam by way of RNAcentral.
UCCCUUUUAGCUCAGUUGGUAAAGAAUCUGCCUGUAAUGCAGGAGACCCAGGUUUGAAUCCUGGGUUGGGAA